Molecule: non-coding RNA, 706 nt
Organism: Manis javanica (Malayan pangolin)
Lineage: Eukaryota; Metazoa; Chordata; Mammalia; Pholidota; Manidae
Source: RefSeq, a predicted model, not a curated record
GGGAAAUGGAGGACAGAAUAAUAUUGUUGAAAAUUCUCAAUUUUGUACUGCUCUGAAAUAUGGUCAGCAUUUGCAACCUAGACUCCUUAAUAAUUAGGGGUUGCCAAGUUUGAACUGGAAGGCCCAAUAUAUUAAUCCAGGAGGACACAACAAACUCAUUUUAUUCUUGUGGACAAAAUGGAGACACAUGGACUACAUUAGGUUCGUUAUUUUAGACUCUGCUGGCUUGAAUGUCUUAGUAUUCAAUGGAGAAAUAUUACACAAGGGGAGAGAAUUGAACGGAGUUGAGGUGUUGAGACUGCCAUUGGACUUUUGGGCUCCUCCUGCCAAUGGACCAAGAGGAAAAUGAAAAAAAAGAAAAGUUUAUUGUGAUGAUGGUUUCCUAUAAUUUUCUAUGGUGGACCUCAGGGAUUCUUCUAGAGUGCCUCCUAGUAUUGUAAUAUCCAGUGGUAAAAUUAAUGGGAGACUAUAGCAACCCCACAUACAGUUGGGACUGCCAGGGCUUAGAGCUCUCAGGAAGCAUUGCCUGAGCACAAAGGGAACCUGGAGGAAGUUCCGAUGCCAACGGGAUCUCAGGAGCACUUGCAGAAAGGAAAAUUGUUGUUUCUGCUCAUGUUUUCUUCCUUGUUCUUCUGUAUAUAUUAUAAUAUAUUGUUUUUCUUCUUGUUUCCCUAGUUUUAAAAAAAUUAAUAAAUAUUUUAUGUUU